RNAcentral lists this ribosomal RNA (468 nucleotides) under uncultured bacterium. RNAcentral describes it as "partial 16S ribosomal RNA". It matches the Rfam family "Bacterial small subunit ribosomal RNA", at positions 28 to 507 of the family's 1533-position model. The record is from RNAcentral.
GACGAACGCUGGCGGCGUGCUUAACACAUGCAAGUCGAACGGAAAGGCCCUGCUUUUGUGGGGUGCUCGAGUGGCGAACGGGUGAGUAACACGUGAGUAACCUGCCCUUGACUUUGGGAUAACUUCAGGAAACUGGGGCUAAUACCGUAUAGGAGCUCCUGCUGCAUGGUGGGGGUUGGAAAGUUUCGGCGGUUGGGGAUGGACUCGCGGCUUAUCAGCUUGUUGGUGGGGUAGUGGCUUACCAAGGCUUUGACGGGUAGCCGGCCUGAGAGGGUGACCGGCCACAUUGGGCCUGAGAUACGGCCCAGACUCCUACGGGAGGCAGCAGUGGGGAAUAUUGCACAAUGGGCGGAAGCCUGAUGCAGCAACGCCGCGUGCGGGAUGACGGCCUUCGGGUUGUAAACCGCUUUCGCCUGUGACGAAGCGUGAGUGACGGUAAUGGGUAAAGAAGCACCGGCUAACUACGUG